Cyprinus carpio (common carp) is the source of this 1489-nucleotide long non-coding RNA. Lineage: Eukaryota; Metazoa; Chordata; Actinopteri; Cypriniformes; Cyprinidae. The record is from Ensembl.
CAACGGUCUGCCUCUACAGCAGCAGCGCGCCAGCGCCGCGCCAGGCACGGUUCUGGUGUGUAAAGACACAGAAAACGCGAGGCAGCCACCACGCUUCUGGGACGCUUCAGACACGCGAUGCUCACGCCACGCAGCCAGUGUGUCACCGGCCUUAUCCCUACUGUUCACGAAAUAAACAGGCAGAAACCACUGCAGGCCUCAUUUGCGUUGCCAUUUUUAAGCGUACAGGAAGAGAGAGAACAACUGAGACUAAGCCAUCGAGCGCCACGGUAUCGGCCUUCUGUCCUGCGGCUGAACAGCUACUUAUCAGGUCACAUAAGCCACCCAUUGAUUCCCAUUACUGAAUCUUGUUAUUGUUGGUUUGUAUGGCUCAAGGGAGAGUUUACUGCUUGCCACUUGAAUCAGUUGACUUACAGUGUUCCAUUUGUGCUCAUUAAGGCAUGGGUCAUUGAAGGGCAACAUGCUUUCGUCACAGUUUGGGGAAAAUAGAUCAUUUCACACUCAAUUUAAAGCACAAUAGAGUGCCAUUAAUGUUCCUGUAAACCUAUGUUUCUAUUACCAAAAAAUACAUCAUUUGCAUUUGGGGGGUUGUUUAAUGUGCAUGCCACUUAAUUUUAUUCCUGGAUGAAGGGACUCUAGACUCAUUUCCAAAAAUGUCAUAGAAGCUGUAACAUGUAGCAGCCCUUCCACUGAUAGCCAAAGGUCUGGUUUCUUAGACUAUGUUUACAUAAGGCAGGACUUUGACUUCUUAUUUGAAACGUUGCAGGUUUAACGGAUACUAUAUUUGAUUUUUUUAUUUUUUUUUUCUUCCAGGCAGAUUUGAAAGACAGAGCACGGAAAGAUAAUGCAUUUACCAGAGUCUAUUACAUUGUACUUCUUAUGGUUUGAACAUCCUUUGACCUUGCUGUAAAGCACUCUUUGCUUCUGAUGGCAGAGAUGAGUCUGGAUCUGGAUGCCGGUUAUAAGCUGUCUGGCCUUGGAGGAGAAGAGAGGGUGGAGACAGAGGUCAUCAUCAUCGCCUGCCCUGGGCCUUCUGAGAGACACGUUCGCAGGCCUGGCAGCUCCUCUGAAAGUACUGAAAAGCCUCUGAUUGAAGAUGCUCUGGAAGAGAGCGAGCCAGAGAGGGAGAGACAGACAGAGAGAGAGAAGGUGGAAUAUGGUCGGAGGGAAUGAAACAAGCAGUCAAACUGUCAAGUGAGUCGUAAAAUAGCUCCCACUUUGCAGAAGGACACUGCUCAUCCUUUCCUGACAGCUCUCUUUCUUUUCCACCCCUCCCUUUCUGUUUUACCUCUCUCUUUUUGUCUUUUAACAAAUCAUCUUUUUAACUUUGCCUUUUUAACUAUCAUCUUAAUCCUAUACAACAUAAUACAAAUUAUAAACACAUACACACAUUAAUAUACUGUAUAUAUAGGGGAGAUGAGAUCUUGUUGUCAUCAUCCAGUGUAUACUGUAUCUCUCAAUAUUUUUUUUUUUUAAAGACAGUUUCUAU